Molecule: transfer RNA, 77 nt
Filed under: Trichonephila clavata
Lineage: Eukaryota; Metazoa; Arthropoda; Arachnida; Araneae; Nephilidae
Description: tRNA-Arg
Rfam family: tRNA
About the family: Transfer RNA (tRNA) molecules are approximately 80 nucleotides in length. Their secondary structure includes four short double-helical elements and three loops (D, anti-codon, and T loops). Further hydrogen bonds mediate the characteristic L-shaped molecular structure. tRNAs have two regions of fundamental functional importance: the anti-codon, which is responsible for specific mRNA codon recognition, and the 3' end, to which the tRNAs corresponding amino acid is attached (by aminoacyl-tRNA synthetases). tRNAs cope with the degeneracy of the genetic code in two manners: having more than one tRNA (with a specific anti-codon) for a particular amino acid; and 'wobble' base-pairing, i.e. permitting non-standard base-pairing at the 3rd anti-codon position.
Source: RNAcentral
GUCCCUCUAGCGCAAUGGAUAGCGCUUUGGACUUCUAAUCCAAAGGUCGUGGGUUCGAAUCCCAUCUGGGAGGGCCU